Molecule: ribosomal RNA, 258 nt
Filed under: uncultured bacterium
Lineage: Bacteria
Description: partial 16S ribosomal RNA
Rfam family: Bacterial small subunit ribosomal RNA
Source: RNAcentral
GUGGCGGACGGGUGAGUAAUGUCUGGGAAACUGCCCGAUGGAGGGGGAGUAACUACUGGAAACGGUAGCUAAUACCGCAUAACGUCGCAAGACCAAAGAGGGGGACCUUCGGGCCUCUUGCCAUCGGAUGUGCCCAGAUGGGAUUAGCUAGUAGGUGGGGUAACGGCUCACCUAGGCGACGAUCCCUAGCUGGUCUGAGAGGAUGACCAGCCACACUGGAACUGAGACACGGUCCAGACUCCUACGGGAGGCAGCAUG